This 253-nucleotide ribosomal RNA is filed under the name uncultured bacterium. Its description in RNAcentral is "partial 16S ribosomal RNA". It matches the Rfam family "Bacterial small subunit ribosomal RNA", at positions 524 to 776 of the family's 1533-position model. The record is from RNAcentral.
UACAGAGGUGGCAAGCGUUGUUCGGAAUUACUGGGCUUAAAGGGCGCGUAGGCGGCCUUCUAAGUCAGACGUGAAAUCCCCCGGCUUAACCUGGGAACUGCGUCUGAUACUGGGAGGCUUGAGUGCGGGAGAGGGAUGCGGAAUUCCAGGUGUAGCGGUGAAAUGCGUAGAUAUCUGGAGGAACACCGGUGGCGAAGGCGGCAUCCUGGACCGACACUGACGCUGAGGCGCGAAAGCUAGGGUAGCAAACGGG